Molecule: ribosomal RNA, 1371 nt
Filed under: uncultured bacterium
Lineage: Bacteria
Description: bacterial SSU rRNA
Rfam family: Bacterial small subunit ribosomal RNA
Source: RNAcentral
GAUGAACGCUGGCGGCGUGCCUAAUACAUGCAAGUCGAGCGAACGGACGAGAAGCUUGCUUUUCUGAUGUUAGCGGCGGACGGGUGAGUAACACGUGGAUAACCUACCUAUAAGACUGGGAUAACUUCGGGAAACCGGAGCUAAUACCGGAUAAUAUUUUGAACCGCAUGGUUCAAAAGUGAAAGACGGUCUUGCUGUCACUUAUAGAUGGAUCCGCGCUGCAUUAGCUAGUUGGUAAGGUAACGGCUUACCAAGGCAACGAUGCAUAGCCGACCUGAGAGGGUGAUCGGCCACACUGGAACUGAGACACGGUCCAGACUCCUACGGGAGGCAGCAGUAGGGAAUCUUCCGCAAUGGGCGAAAGCCUGACGGAGCAACGCCGCGUGAGUGAUGAAGGUCUUCGGAUCGUAAAACUCUGUUAUUAGGGAAGAACAUAUGUGUAAGUAACUGUGCACAUCUUGACGGUACCUAAUCAGAAAGCCACGGCUAACUACGUGCCAGCAGCCGCGGUAAUACGUAGGUGGCAAGCGUUAUCCGGAAUUAUUGGGCGUAAAGCGCGCGUAGCGGUUUUUUAAGUCUGAUGUGAAAGCCCACGGCUCAACCGUGGAGGGUCAUUGGAAACUGGAAAACUUGAGUGCAGAAGAGGAAAGUGGAAUUCCAUGUGUAGCGGUGAAAUGCGCAGAGAUGUGGAGGAACACCAGUGGCGAAGGCGACUUUCUGGUCUGUAACUGACGCUGAUGUGCGAAAGCGUGGGGAUCAAACAGGAUUAGAUACCCUGGUAGUCCACGCCGUAAACGAUGAGUGCUAAGUGUUAGGGGGUUUCCGCCCCUUAGUGCUGCAGCUAACGCAUUAAGCACUCCGCCUGGGGAGUACGACCGCAAGGUUGAAACUCAAAGGAAUUGACGGGGGCCCGCACAAGCGGUGGAGCAUGUGGUUUAAUUCGAAGCAACGCGAAGAACCUUACCAAAUCUUGACAUCCUUUGACAACUCUAGAGAUAGAGCCUUCCCCUUCGGGGGACAAAGUGACAGGUGGUGCAUGGUUGUCGUCAGCUCGUGUCGUGAGAUGUUGGGUUAAGUCCCGCAACGAGCGCAACCCUUAAGCUUAGUUGCCAUCAUUAAGUUGGGCACUCUAAGUUGACUGCCGGUGACAAACCGGAGGAAGGUGGGGGUGACGUCAAAUCAUCAUGCCCCUUAUGAUUUGGGCUACACACGUGCUACAAUGGACAAUACAAAGGGCAGCGAAACCGCGAGGUCAAGCAAAUCCCAUAAAGUUGUUCUCAGUUCGGAUUGUAGUCUGCAACUCGACUACAUGAAGCUGGAAUCGCUAGUAAUCGUAGAUCAGCAUGCUACGGUGAAUACGUUCCCGGGUCU